AAAGUUGAAAAGAACUUUGAAGAGAGAGUUCAAGAGUACGUGAAACCGUUCAGGGGUAAACCUGAGAAACCCAAAAGAUCGAAUGGGGAGAUUCAUCGUCAGCACAUUUUGUAUAUGUAUGAGCUACGAUGCGGGUUACUACUUGUAGUAUUGCCUGCACGUUCUUGUAUAUUUAGUUGCAAGAUGUUGUCGUCGUGCACUUCUCCCCUAGUAGGACGUCGCGACCCGUUGGGUGUCGGUCUACGGCCCAAGUGGGAGCCUUUGAUAUUUUAUUAUAUUAAAGACCCUUGGUGUUUUCUGACCGGCUACUCGGCGGUACUCGUACGGUAUUAAGCCGCAUAUUUAUUAUGCGUUCAUAUCCGUCGCAAGCGCGGCCAAUUUCUAGUAGUACGGACCUAGUGCCGUCGCUGGUAUUGGCCAGCUGUUGGUUGUACGGUGUUCUAGAACUGGCUUAAAAAUUUUACCGGUCGGCGAUGCUACUGCUUUGGGUACUUUCAGGACCCGUCUUGAAACACGGACCAAGGAGUCUAACAUGUGCGCGAGUCAUUGGGAUUUUUUGAAAAUUAAACCUAAAGGCGUAAUGAAAGUAAAGGUCGUCCUUGCGUCGACCGAGGGAGGAUGAGUUGUUUUACGAUACAGCUCCGCACUCCCGGGGCGUCUAAUUCUUAUUACAAGAAUAGGCGCACCUAGAGCGUACACGUU
This 702-nucleotide ribosomal RNA is filed under the name Lysiterminae sp. BIOUG15817-E05. Its description in RNAcentral is "partial 28S ribosomal RNA". It matches the Rfam family "Eukaryotic large subunit ribosomal RNA", at positions 360 to 810 of the family's 3401-position model. Lineage: Eukaryota; Metazoa; Arthropoda; Insecta; Hymenoptera; Braconidae. The record is from RNAcentral.